RNAcentral lists this ribosomal RNA (654 nucleotides) under Bradyrhizobium sp. Ad255. RNAcentral's name for it is "bacterial SSU rRNA". It matches the Rfam family "Bacterial small subunit ribosomal RNA", at positions 88 to 777 of the family's 1533-position model. The record is from RNAcentral. Lineage: Bacteria; Pseudomonadati; Pseudomonadota; Alphaproteobacteria; Hyphomicrobiales; Nitrobacteraceae.
UACGUCAGCGGCAGACGGGUGAGUAACGCGUGGGAACAUACCUCUUGGUUCGGAACAACACAGGGAAACUUGUGCUAAUACCGGAUAAGCCCUUACGGGGAAAGAUUUAUCGCCGAGAGAUUGGCCCGCGUCUGAUUAGCUAGUUGGUAGGGUAAUGGCCUACCAAGGCGACGAUCAGUAGCUGGUCUGAGAGGAUGAUCAGCCACAUUGGGACUGAGACACGGCCCAAACUCCUACGGGAGGCAGCAGUGGGGAAUAUUGGACAAUGGGGGCAACCCUGAUCCAGCCAUGCCGCGUGAGUGAUGAAGGCCCUAGGGUUGUAAAGCUCUUUUGUGCGGGAAGAUAAUGACGGUACCGCAAGAAUAAGCCCCGGCUAACUUCGUGCCAGCAGCCGCGGUAAUACGAAGGGGGCUAGCGUUGCUCGGAAUCACUGGGCGUAAAGGGUGCGUAGGCGGGUUUUUAAGUCAGGGGUGAAAUCCUGGAGCUCAACUCCAGAACUGCCUUUGAUACUGAAGAUCUUGAGUCCGGGAGAGGUGAGUGGAACUGCGAGUGUANAGGUGAAAUUCGUAGAUAUUCGCAAGAACACCAGUGGCGAAGGCGGCUCACUGGCCCGGUACUGACGCUGAGGCACGAAAGCGUGGGGAGCAAACAGGA